Molecule: small nucleolar RNA, 138 nt
Organism: Ornithorhynchus anatinus (platypus)
Lineage: Eukaryota; Metazoa; Chordata; Mammalia; Monotremata; Ornithorhynchidae
Source: RefSeq, a predicted model, not a curated record
UACCUCUCAGGGUCAAACCUAGAGAGUUUCCAGUACUCUACCGGUCUCGACUAUGGGAGGGAAAGUCAAGCAGAGGCCUAUCCAUUCCAAUCCUAGCUCGGUCAGUGGCCAGCGAGUGGAAGGCUAUCUGCUACGAGU